Molecule: long non-coding RNA, 254 nt
Filed under: Sorghum bicolor (sorghum)
Lineage: Eukaryota; Viridiplantae; Streptophyta; Magnoliopsida; Poales; Poaceae
Description: long non-coding RNA (SBIC_LNC006787)
Source: RNAcentral
GGAUGAAGAAUUGAAACCCUAGCUUUGGUUUUGUAGAAGAGGUAUGAUCUCCAGGGGCCAGGGGGCCUUGCUUAUAUAGUCUUUUCAGAUGAAUCUGGGCCGUCGGAUCAAACCGACAUUAAUCGCACGGUUUUCCUUGAUCCCUUAGGUCGGUGGAGCACGAUCCACAAAGUUAGUCGUGAUUGGUGGAAAAAGGUGGGAGGGCACCCUAAGGAGUAGGGCGGACGCCCUGUCCCCGAGCCUUGUCGGCUUCC